CUGAGUCACAAGUUGUCAUUAGUUUCAUAGGCAUUUAGAAACCAAAGUACAGGAAAAAACAAUCCAUCUGCCCACUGAUGAAAGUGAUGAAAAAGGGUUCAGCAAAGUGAAUACAUCUCUGAGUUGUCAACAAUUCAUGGCAAUCCAUCAACUAGAGCUUUGGAGCCAUAUUCUGCUGGCUGCUAGCUAAAACAAGAAUGUCACUGUGUUUUCAUUAAACUUAGCUACAUGGAUAGCUAAAUGGGACUCCUUCAGCCUGCAAGCUAGUUCAACUUGCAAGCUCGUUCAGGGAGCUACAGUCAUUCUACUGGCUGGUGAAAAUAUCAAACACACCCUUUGUUUCAAGGUGGGCUAUUUAAGCUGAUGCCCUGCCCACUGUGGGUAUGCUGCACAGGUGCUGAACAUGGCUCCUUUGCUAGCUAGUUUCUGUGCUUUAACAUUUGCAUCUACUGAUACAUGUCUUGUUUGCAGUUUUGAGAAAUACUGCAGAUGGGGCCAAUAUUUUGGCACUGGAAUGACUUGGUGGAGAAUAAUUGUUUGUGCUGCACACUGGCAAGAUUUCACCUGUAGGUUAACUAUUGGACAUAUUAGGCCUCAAAAACACCCUUCAAGCUUGAAGUUUGAAGACAUGGCACUACAGAGAGACUGGACAGCACUGCUUCACUUCACCAAGCUAUGGUUUAUCCUUGGCCAGGACUCAAGACUCAACUCCAGCCUUCAUCCAUGCCAUGAAGCCAACCACUCAUCAACAGGUUUUUCUGGAUGUGAGGUCUGCCAGGCUCUCUCUGCGGAGGGCACGAUUAGGACGAGAAGGGUGGGAAACACCAGCCAGAAAAAGGACCCACAUGGUGAUAAGGGCAAAGAAUCCCAAGCACGUCAUGGAUUUUAUAAGCUUGUCAUGGUUUUACUCCCAUCCCCUGCAGCAGAGUGCAUUUACUGUGAAGGAAACAGCACAAAUAAUCAUGUUGCCUUUGCCCUAUAACUGUAUCAAAAUGUUGUUUGGGAGCUUCAAGACAGCUAAACUUCUCAGUCCCUCACUGUCAUAGAGAUAGAAAGGAUGACUUCACAGAGCUUUUCCUGAAGGAGAAAUAUCUUGGCUGCACAAUUCUCUUCCUGGCACUAGCUAGCUGGAUGUCUCAGUUAAAGAGUAUAGCCCAUGGAAAAUGUUUCUGUAAUUUAUUUGAUCACAUUAAAAUUGGGAACAGA
Molecule: long non-coding RNA, 1206 nt
Organism: Scatophagus argus
Lineage: Eukaryota; Metazoa; Chordata; Actinopteri; Scatophagidae
Exons: 2
Source: RefSeq, a predicted model, not a curated record